CCUACGGGAGGCAGCAGUGAGGAAUAUUGGUCAAUGGCCGGAAGGCUGAACCAGCCAAGCCGCGUGAGGGAGGAAGGCGCAGAGCGUCGCAGACCUCUUUUGCCGGGGGACAAAAGGCCGGACUCGUCCGGUCCUGAGGGUACCCGGAGAAAAAGCAUCGGCUAACGCCGUGCCAGCAGCCGCGGGAAUACGGGGGAUGCGAGCGUUAUCCGGAUUCAUGGGGUUUAAAGGGUGCGCAGGGGGGCCUUUAAGCCGGCGGUGAAAUGGCGGGGCUCAACCCCGCCGAGCCGUCGGAACUGGGUGCCUUGAGUGCGGCUGGGGCAUGCGGAAUGCGCGGUGUAGCGGUGAAAUGCAUAGAUAUCGCGCAGAACCCCGAUGGCGAAGGCAGCGUGCCGUGCCGCCACUGACGCUGAGGCACGAAGGCGCGGGGAUCGAACAGGAUUAGAUACCCCUGUAGUC
Molecule: ribosomal RNA, 459 nt
Filed under: uncultured bacterium
Lineage: Bacteria
Description: partial 16S ribosomal RNA
Rfam family: Bacterial small subunit ribosomal RNA
Source: RNAcentral